GACGAACGCUGGCGGCGCGCUUAACACAUGCAAGUCGAACGGAAAGGCCCUGCCUUUGUGCGGUGCUCGAGUGGCGAACGGGUGAGUAACACGUGAGUAAUCUGCCCUUGACUUUGGGAUAACUUCAGGAAACUGGGGCUAAUACCGGAUAGGCGCUCCUGCUGCCUGGUGGGGGUUGGAAAGUUUCGGUGGUUGGGGAUGGACUCGCGGCUUAUCAGCUUGUUGGGGGGGUAGUGGGUUACCAAGGCUGUGACGGGUCGCCGGCCUGCGAGGGUGAGCGGCGACAUUGGGACUAAGAGACGGCCCAGACUCCUACGGGAGGCAGCGGUGGGGAGUAUGGCACAAUGGGCGGAAGCCUAUGGCGGCGGCGCCGCGGGCGGGAUGACGGCCUUCGGGUUAUAAACCACUGUCGCCUGUAACGAAGCGUGAGUGACGGUAAUGGGUAAAGAAGCACCGGCUAAGUACGUG
This 468-nucleotide ribosomal RNA is filed under the name uncultured bacterium. RNAcentral's name for it is "partial 16S ribosomal RNA". It matches the Rfam family "Bacterial small subunit ribosomal RNA", at positions 28 to 507 of the family's 1533-position model. The record is from RNAcentral.